RNAcentral lists this ribosomal RNA (826 nucleotides) under Sodalis sp. (in: enterobacteria). Its description in RNAcentral is "bacterial SSU rRNA". It matches the Rfam family "Bacterial small subunit ribosomal RNA", at positions 91 to 913 of the family's 1533-position model. The record is from RNAcentral. Lineage: Bacteria; Pseudomonadati; Pseudomonadota; Gammaproteobacteria; Enterobacterales; Bruguierivoracaceae.
GCGAGCGGCGGACGGGUGAGUAAUGUCUGGGGAUCUGCCUGAUGGUGGGGGAUAACUACUGGAAACGGUAGCUAAUACCGCAUAACGUCGCAAGACCAAAGUGGGGGACCUUCGGGCCUCACGCCAUCGGAUGAACCCAGAUGGGAUUAGCUAGUAGGUGAGGUAAUGGCUCACCUAGGCGACGAUCCCUAGCUGGUCUGAGAGGAUGACCAGCCACACUGGAACUGAGACACGGUCCAGACUCCUACGGGAGGCAGCAGUGGGGAAUAUUGCACAAUGGGCGCAAGCCUGAUGCAGCCAUGCCGCGUGUGUGAAGAAGGCCUUCGGGUUGUAAAGCACUUUCAGCGGGGAGGAAGGCGAUAAGGUUAAUAACCUUGUUGAUUGACGUUACCCGCAGAAGAAGCACCGGCUAACUCCGUGCCAGCAGCCGCGGUAAUACGGAGGGUGCGAGCGUUAAUCGGAAUUACUGGGCGUAAAGCGUACGCAGGCGGUCUGUUAAGUCAGAUGUGAAAUCCCCGGGCUUAACCCGGGAACUGCAUUUGAAACUGGCAGGCUAGAGUCUCGUAGAGGGGGGUAGAAUUCCAGGUGUAGCGGUGAAAUGCGUAGAGAUCUGGAGGAAUACCGGUGGCGAAGGCGGCCCCCUGGACGAAGACUGACGCUCAGGUACGAAAGCGUGGGGAGCAAACAGGAUUAGAUACCCUGGUAGUCCACGCUGUAAACGAUGUCGAUUUGAAGGUUGUGGCCUUGAGCCGUGGCUUUCGGAGCUAACGCGUUAAAUCGACCGCCUGGGGAGUACGGCCGCAAGGUUAAAACUCAAAUGAAUUGA